GAGCGGUAACGGGUCCAGCUUGCUGGAUGCCGACGAGCGGCGGACGGGUGAGUAAUGCAUAGGAAUCUGCCCAGUCGUGGGGGAUAACCUGGGGAAACCCAGGCUAAUACCGCAUACGUCCUACGGGAGAAAGCGGGGGCUUCGUGUUCUUCGGAAUGGGGACCUCGCGCGAUUGGAUGAGCCUAUGUCGGAUUAGCUGGUUGGUGAGGUAACGGCUCACCAAGGCGACGAUCCGUAGCUGGUCUGAGAGGAUGAUCAGCCACACCGGGACUGAGACACGGCCCGGACUCCUACGGGAGGCAGCAGUGGGGAAUAUUGGACAAUGGGCGCAAGCCUGAUCCAGCCAUGCCGCGUGUGUGAAGAAGGCUUUCGGGUUGUAAAGCACUUUCAGUGGGGAAGAAGGCCUGGCGGUCAAUACCCGCCAGGGACGACAUCACCCACAGAAGAAGCACCGGCUAACUCCGUGCCAGCAGCCGCGGUAAUACGGAGGGUGCGAGCGUUAAUCGGAAUUACUGGGCGUAAAGCGCGCGUAGGCGGCCAAGUAAGCCGGUUGUGAAAGCCCCGGGCUCAACCUGGGAAUGGCAUCCGGAACUGGUUGGCUAGAGUGCAGGAGAGGAAGGUAGAAUUCCCGGUGUAGCGGUGAAAUGCGUAGAGAUCGGGAGGAAUACCAGUGGCGAAGGCGGCCUUCUGGACUGACACUGACGCUGAGGUGCGAAAGCAUGGGUAGCAAACAGGAUUAGAUACCCUGGUAGUCCAUGCCGUAAACGAUGUCGACUAGCCGUUGGGUCCCUUGAGGACUU
This 800-nucleotide ribosomal RNA is filed under the name Halomonas sp. RNAcentral describes it as "bacterial SSU rRNA". It matches the Rfam family "Bacterial small subunit ribosomal RNA", at positions 64 to 841 of the family's 1533-position model. Lineage: Bacteria; Pseudomonadati; Pseudomonadota; Gammaproteobacteria; Oceanospirillales; Halomonadaceae. The record is from RNAcentral.